RNAcentral lists this long non-coding RNA (517 nucleotides) under Anser brachyrhynchus (Pink-footed goose). Its description in RNAcentral is "lncRNA (ENSABRG00000016660.1)". Lineage: Eukaryota; Metazoa; Chordata; Aves; Anseriformes; Anatidae. The record is from RNAcentral.
CAUAGGUGGAGAGUAGCAAUUGACAGAGCCAUGGAGGGGAAUGUACUUAAAACUAUGACGUAUACAGACAUUAUAGAAAAGAAUACGUAAGUUUGUCUUUCUCACCUAGAGAACUUCCACAUUGAGACAUCAUUUGGUGCCACAGGAUAAUUUGUAAGCUAUGAGCCACAAAAGUUCCUCUGAUAGGUACAAGGGAACUGCCUUAGUUAUGGACCAGAAAAUGAUAAGAAUUGUAUGAAGGUGGUUUCAGCUUAAAAGCAUGUUAAUUAUCAGAGGAAAACGUUAAUCUUCAGAGGAGUUUAACACUACCAAGUAGCAUUAAAGUAAUUAUGGUGAGUAUUGCAUCUGAUUGAAAAUGUUUUUUUCUAAGAACCCCGUCUCUUCUGUUUUCAUUUGACAUUGUUCCUUUUGUGUGUGAAUAGUAACAGAUUUAUUACUAGUGAUAAGUUAAGGAUACCUUUUUUUUUUCUCCUUUGCUUUUUUUUUUGUAAGAAAGGCUGUUUUUGUCAGUGACAUA